UUUAACCGAGGGGUACGAGGCAGCGUCACUCCAUCAGGGGCAAAUGGCGAUAGCGUUUCAGUUAUCAGAUGGUCCGGUUGGGGUCCCACGACGGGUGAUGGUGGUGAUCAGGAGCCAUUUGAACGUGCCCGCGAGACUCCUCGUAUUUUUAGCUCCUUUUUGGUUCCCGUAUGGUGGCAUUUUGAGCGCUGCUUCCCCGUAAAGUGGGUGAGUAUGAUCCGAGAAAAUCUCGGAAUGGCGAACACGCAUGGGUGGAAUAUCAGCUGGAUUGUUGAUAUACGGUAUUUGUUCAGAAACGGUAAAUCGUUCAGAAGCGGUAAAUCGUUCAGAAACGCCGAAUCGUUCAAGCCUGGUUUGCUACUCCGCUUCCGCCAGAUCAGAUAAAAACCUGAAGCCUGAACUUGACUGACUUUGGUGUCUGACUGGGUCUCUUCAAGGCCAGGUGACUUAGUCUCAGGCUUAACAUGGCCUGCUACAGCGAGUACGACCCGGUGCAACUAACCGAGAUAGACUACUUGUAGUGAGAGUGGCUACUCGUAGAGCGGUUUCAACUGGAAGGGUCUCCGAGUUCACAGAUGAGAAUGGUGGUUGUGGAACAUCCUUGCCGGUGCGAGUACCACUCAAGCUCAUACAAGUAUGGACACUACUGACGGAGGGCUUUGAGCUGACUUGGAAACGUCAGCAAAACUUCAAAAGAAUGACACUCUCUGUCGAGUUAUGACUCAGUAAGAGACCUGUACAAGUACGAUACCGGUACUUACUUGAGGUUUUGUUGAUGUGAGACUAUACAGUAUGUACAGCCCAACACUAGAAAGAGAAACUAUCGACG
RNAcentral lists this unclassified non-coding RNA (829 nucleotides) under Yarrowia lipolytica. Lineage: Eukaryota; Fungi; Ascomycota; Dipodascomycetes; Dipodascales. The record is from RNAcentral.